ACUGCUCAGUAACACGUGGAUAACCUACCCAAGAGUCCGGGAUAACCCCGGGAAACUGGGGAUAAUACCGGAUAGGUCAAACUUGCUGGAAGGCUGUUUGGUUGAAACCUCCGGGGCUUUUGGAUGGGUCUGCGGCUGAUUAGGUUGUUGCCGGUGUAACGUACCGUCAAGCCUGUAAUCAGUACGGGUUGUGGGAGCAAGAGCCCGGAGAUGGAUUCUGAGACACGAAUCCAGGCCCUACGGGGCGCAGCAGGCGCGAAAACUCUACAAUGCAGGCAACUGCGAUAGGGGAACAUCGAGUGGCGUCCAUAUUGGAUGUCUGUCCUCCCGCCUAAAAAGCGGGAGUUAGCAAGGGCCGGGCAAGACCGGUGCCAGCCGCCGCGGUAAUACCGGCGGCUCGAGUGGUGGCCGAUAUUAUUGAGUCUAAAGGGUCCGUAGCCGGCUUUGCAAGUCUCUCGGGAAAUCCAGCGGCUUAACCGUUGGUCGUCCGGGGGGUACUACAUUGCUUGGGACUGGGAGAGGUAGGAGGUACUCAGGGGGUAGGAGUGAAAUCCUGUAAUCCUUUGGGGACCACCGGUGGCGAAGGCGUCCUACCAGAACAGGUCCGACGGUGAGGGGCGAAAGCUAGGGGCACGAACCGGAUUAGAUACCCGGGUAGUCCUAGCCGUAAACGAUGCUCGCUAGGUGUCACAACAGUCGUGAACUGUUGUGGUGCCGUAGGGAAGCCGUGAAGCGAGCCACUUGGGAAGUACGACCGCAAGGUUGAAACUUAAAGGAAUUGGCGGGGGAGCAC
This 793-nucleotide ribosomal RNA is filed under the name uncultured archaeon. RNAcentral's name for it is "bacterial SSU rRNA". It matches the Rfam family "Archaeal small subunit ribosomal RNA", at positions 85 to 879 of the family's 1478-position model. The record is from RNAcentral.